RNAcentral lists this ribosomal RNA (253 nucleotides) under uncultured bacterium. RNAcentral describes it as "partial 16S ribosomal RNA". It matches the Rfam family "Bacterial small subunit ribosomal RNA", at positions 524 to 776 of the family's 1533-position model. The record is from RNAcentral.
GACGUAGGGCGCGAGCGUUGUCCGGAUUUAUUGGGCGUAAAGAGCUCGUAGGCGGCUUGUCGCGUCGUCCGUGAAAACCUGCAGCUCAACUGCAGGCUUGCGGUCGAUACGGGCAGGCUGGAGUUCGGUAGGGGAGACUGGAAUUCCUGGUGUAGCGGUGAAAUGCGCAGAUAUCGUGAGGAAGACCAGUGGCGAAGGCGAAUCUCUGGACAGUAACUGACGCUGAGGCACGAAGGCUAGGGGAGCAAACGGG